Long non-coding RNA from Mustela lutreola (European mink), 2105 nucleotides. RefSeq lists it as uncharacterized. NCBI's taxonomy places the organism in Eukaryota, Metazoa, Chordata, Mammalia, Carnivora, Mustelidae. The record is from RefSeq and is a predicted model, not a curated record. The transcript has 2 exons.
GAACUCAUCUUUGCUGCCCUCCCCUGUGCGCACUUCGCUUCUGCACUCCACGAAGGCCAGGAAGCUUUGACCCUUCUUAGGCCCCCACAGAGGGGGAGAGGUAGGGGCUCCCCACCUUCCCAGAAAGCAUUUGCUUUAAGGCCAUACCCCAGGGCUCCUUGAUUUUUUUUUCUUUCUUCUGCUUUCCCCUCAGCUGCAAAUACUUUCAGUUCCCUUCCGGUCAGCCCUUCUUCUUUUUUCCCAUUCUUUGAUCCAUUUCCAAUGACCCCAUCCGAGGCUGGGCUCACGGGAGGCCGACGGCAGCCUCCGCUACCAGUGAAGAAAGCAGGGUCCUCUGGACAGAGCACAGAUUUGGAGACUAGAGGGACAGUUCAGCGACUUAACAACCUGCGUGACCCUGGCCAAGUUGCUUUCUCAGCCUGUGGGGUCAGUCCUUGGCUUGUGUUUCUCACAAUCAAUAACUUGUGGUUUGAUUCCUCAAAUCAAUAACUGUAGCUGAAAGUGCGCACGAAAAAGAAUUCUGGACACAAGCUCCAUACCCAGCGUGGAGCCCCACGCAGGGCUUGAACUCACAACCCUGAGAUCAAGACCUGAGCUGAGAUCAAGAGCCGGAUGCUUCAUCAGCUGAGCCAUCAGGGGCCCCUGCCCUGCCUAUUUAAAUUCUUCUUCACUCACCGCGUGCACCACGGCUCCCCUGUUUGAUUUCCUUGCAGCCUCUGGGCAGAGGUGGAGACAGAGAAGAACAGGCCCGUGUUUCCGGCGGAGUAGUGACCACAGCCAGAGAAGACGCAGACUUUCAGUCUUACUGCAUAUUUGACACAACAACCAGCCUCUCCUUGCUCCGAGCCCCAAACCAUCGCACCUCUGCAGCAGAACCUGUGAGGUGAGGCCCUGAGACUCCCAGCAUCGUCGCCACUCCGCUUCUCUGAUGCCUUGUCCAGCGCCGGCUUCCUUCCUGCCCCGGCCAUACACCGUGAUGCUCCCGCGAGGCCCUGCCCUGGGGACUGGACAGUCCAGGAAAUCAGGAACUCACAUCCAGACGAGUUGCUGAGAAGUUAACAGAAAAUUACAUGGAGAAGAAUAAGUGAUAAAAGAUGAGCCCUGGAGAAGAGAAGAGAGACACCGAGGUGGGACAGAACAGAGAGGCCGCACGGGGGGCAAGUGGCUAACCACAUCUGAGCCUCAGUUUCCUCACACCUAAAAUGGAGCCAAUACACACGAUGUUGUGAAGAUCAAGGGAGGUGACAUUUAGAAAGAUGCUUUAGUUCUCUAAAAAAAAACAGUGAAGAGAAAUACAAAUCGAAAAUGCCUUUAUUAGGGGCGCCUGGGUGGCUCAGUCAUUAAGCGUCUGCCUUCAGCUCAGGUCAUGACCCCAGAGUCCUGGGAUCAAGCCCCACGUCACUGGGAAGCCUGCUUCUCCCUCUCCCACUCUCCCUGCUGUGUUCUCUCUCUUGCUGUGUCUCUGUCAAAUAAAUAUAUAAAGAUAUAUAUUUUUUAAUGCCAUUGUUAUUCUCGUUGUGGAGAGAACAGUCCUGGGCACAACACGACCACACAGCUCCCUCUGGAAACCCCGAGGCUAAAGUCACUGAAGUGGGGAGUGGCUGGGAGGAGACACAGUUCUUUCCAGAGCCUCCUCCGGGCCACACAGAGACAGAGCCUAGACCCAUUCCAGGUUCCGCCAACCCCCUAACUGCUGCAGGCCAGAUAACACCAGAGGCCAUGAAUCAGCACUAAGCCUACAGCUCAAGCCGACAGCAGGAGGAGGCCUCUGUGCGUCUCAAAGACAUCCUCUCUGGCCCCAAGAGACCAGGACCAUGGGGAGCCUCGAGUAGGGGAUUCCUGGACCUGAGGAUUUCCCUCAAAGAAAACAGAUGAAAAAAAGACCAGUAAGAGCUGAUAUUGUUUUGGGGGGUUUUUGUGUGUUUCUUUUUUUUUUUUUUCCUUAAAGAUUUUAUUUUGAAGUAAUUGCUACACCCAAUGUGGGGCUCAAACCUCCAGAUCAAGAGCCCCACACUCUACUGAAUAAGCCCGCCAGGUGCCCCUUUUAUGUCUUACAAAAUAAAAACAUUCUGAGGUAUCUGGGUGGGCCAGUCAGCUAGGCAUCU